Molecule: ribosomal RNA, 253 nt
Filed under: uncultured bacterium
Lineage: Bacteria
Description: partial 16S ribosomal RNA
Rfam family: Bacterial small subunit ribosomal RNA
Source: RNAcentral
UACAGAGGUCCCAAGCGUUGUUCGGAUUCAUUGGGCGUAAAGGGUGCGUAGGUGGCGUCGUAAGUCGGGUGUGAAAUUUCGGAGCUCAACUCCGAAACUGCAUUCGAUACUGCGGUGCUUGAGGACUGGAGAGGAGACUGGAAUUUACGGUGUAGCAGUGAAAUGCGUAGAGAUCCGGAAGAACACCGGUGGCGAAGGCGGCCUGCUGGGCAGUUGCUGACACUGAGGCGCGACAGCGUGGGGAGCAAACAGG